RNAcentral lists this long non-coding RNA (1165 nucleotides) under Triticum aestivum (bread wheat). RNAcentral's name for it is "long non-coding RNA (TAES_LNC021210)". The record is from RNAcentral. Lineage: Eukaryota; Viridiplantae; Streptophyta; Magnoliopsida; Poales; Poaceae.
GAAGACAAUCGAGUUGUAUAUGUUAUGUAUAGAACAUACAUAUACUACGAUGUGGCAUUAUAUAACAGUGGUCGGUCGAGGACAAAUUUAUCUGAUGCCAUGGAGAAUAGUUCUUGUCACCGAGGCAAGUAGUUGCUUUGCUAACUCUUAAAUCCUUUAUCUUCAAUUGUAUGAUUAUAUAUUGCUGCACUCUCAAAUCUUAUUUAUCCUGUGUUAAUUCCUGUGCUAUUUGAGAAGGACAUGUUGUCCUCGAUAUUACAUUUGUUGAAGGACAAGUUGUCCUUGAUAAUCCAUUUGUUGAUUGAACCUGUCUAAUAUGAGAGGAACUCAUGUAGAGGCAUGAGUUUAUUGUCUUGACUAAUAAUCUAGUGAUCCUAUCGUUGAUUCAAACACACAUCCAUCUAUAUAGGUGUCACGACGGCAAAUGUAUUGUACCGGUCACAGUUCAGGUAUGGGACUGUCUGAGUUCUCCGCUAAGGACGGACCUUGUUCAGCAACGUGUCGGUGAUGGAUCUGUAGGAGCGACCGACAUCAGUAGGUCCAGGUGUCCGGGUCUUAGUGGGUACAAGAGCUCUGCUAUUCUGGAACCUGUGUGGUUCUAGUUGAGACUGUCGACGUUGGAGUACCCCUCUUAAGAGCGUAAAAGUGUGAAAUUUCAUCCCUGUGACUCCCGGGUUGGGAAGCUUGCGGUCAUGUGUGACGCCAAAUAAAUUCCUAGUUGUUUCCAUUAAAUCUAGUUAUAUGUUCUUUUGUCCAUUUCCACCAAAAUACAUUCCAAUGAUUAUUACCUUGUUUAUCCUAUGGAUCAAGUUCAUCUGUUGAGAUACACUAUCAUACUAUUCUUCUUUGUUGCAUAGUGAAGUACCUACUUACUGAGUAUGACUUGUCGUACUCACCCUUGUUUUCUCUGUUUUUCUAGAUGCAGAUGAUGUAACUUAAGCAUGUUCAGAAGAUGUCGUCAUCUAAAAUUAGGCUAGACCAGUGGGUGGGAAGCGACUAUAGACUGAUUUAUUUGAGAUGUUGGAAAUGUAAAGAAUUUGUAAAAGAAAAUAUAUGAGCUUUUGUGAUCCACUGCUGGUUUAUGCCUGCUUUAUCACGCCUUGCGUGACUAUAGGCCUCUGGUCUAUAGGUGCGCGGCGGCUGUCUCGCCUAGGGCCGGUCUUGG